Molecule: RNA transcript, 645 nt
Organism: Callithrix jacchus (white-tufted-ear marmoset)
Lineage: Eukaryota; Metazoa; Chordata; Mammalia; Primates; Cebidae
Gene name: alpha-S2-casein-like A
Source: RefSeq, a predicted model, not a curated record
UGGGCAUAGCGCAUGUAGCCCUCCGGACCUCGCUCUUUUCUAUCUCCUCUUUUUUUCCGGUGCACGCUCUCUUCCAGGUUUGGGACCCUCUCGCUGGACGAGAUUCCCAGGCUCGCGUUCAGUUCACAACAGGAAUCUGCUGAAGUAUUACCUGAGAAAAUAAAGACAAAUGAAGAAAAGAAAUACCUGAAACAGCUGAUGAAAGCCAACCAGUUUCUCCAGAAGUUCGCUGUCCCCCAGUAUGCCCAGGCUGUUCCUCUUGCAGUCUAUCAACCUGUGGAAUCACAUUCAGGAAAACACCUACCCAUAUAUUCUAAUUUGGAGGAACUUGUAAGAUUCUUGAAUUAACUGCUGCAAUGUGAGCUUGGGUAUGACUAGAAAAAAAUUAUUCCUUUAUAAUUUCUUCGUCUAUCACAUCACCUCCUACUACCAAUAUAUUUUGGCAUGCUUCAUGAAAAGUCAAGAGUAUUGAGCCAAAAGAAGAUUGUGGAAUAUUUCCCAUAUUGGUUAUAAUCUUUUUAGUUUGUGUUAGAUAUGCCAGAUCUGGAUUGUGGCAUCAAAUUUACUGUACUGAUGAUUAAAUAAGGUCUUUUCUCCAUUAUCUUUGAGCUAUAGAACUGUAUAUCACUUGCCAAAACAUUAAAA